CCUACGGGAGGCAGCAGUGAGGAAUAUUGGUCAAUGGACGAGAGUCUGAACCAGCCAAGUAGCGUGAAGGAUGACUGCCCUAUGGGUUGUAAACUUCUUUUAUAUGGGAAUAAAACGUUCCACGUGUGGGAUUUUGUAUGUACCAUAUGAAUAAGGAUCGGCUAACUCCGUGCCCUCAGCCGCGGUAAUACGGAGGAUCCGAGCUUUAUCCGGAUUUAUUGGGUUUAAAGGGAGCGUAGGUGGAUUGUUAAGUCAGUUGUGAAAGUUUGCGGCUCAACCGUAAAAUUGCAGUUGAAACUGGCAGUCUUGAGUACAGUAGAGGUGGGCGGAAUUCGUGGUGUAGCGGUGAAAUGCUUAGAUAUCACGAAGAACUCCGAUUGCGAAGGCAGUUCACUGGACUGCAACUGACACUGAUGCUCGAAAGUGUGGGUAUCAAACAGGAUUAGAUACCCCAGUAGUC
Molecule: ribosomal RNA, 460 nt
Filed under: uncultured bacterium
Lineage: Bacteria
Description: partial 16S ribosomal RNA
Rfam family: Bacterial small subunit ribosomal RNA
Source: RNAcentral